GCCAGGAAGAGGAAGAAAGAGAAUGUCUAAGAGCAGUGGGAAUGGGAACAUGGAGGAAAGCAUGAAAACUUCUGUUUGGUCUCAAUGUUUUCCUGAUGCCUCCCGUUCCUACGGUUCUUAGGUGCUCCUUCCUCUUCCUUAGGCCU
Molecule: microRNA precursor, 146 nt
Filed under: Dichanthelium oligosanthes
Lineage: Eukaryota; Viridiplantae; Streptophyta; Magnoliopsida; Poales; Poaceae
Description: MIR2118 microRNA precursor family
Rfam family: MIR2118 microRNA precursor family
Source: Rfam by way of RNAcentral